CGUGAAACCGUUUAGGGGUAAACCUGAGAAACCCGAAAGGUCGAAGGAAGAAAUUCAUUCGCGGCUCGACGCAGGCAACGAGCGGUCGAGCGACGCGAGACGUUCUCGUCUCGCGCGCCUUCCGUCCUGUAGAUCCGGCGUCGAACGCGUGCACUUUUCUUCUGGUAGGACGUCGCGAUCCGUUGAGUGUCAGUCUACGGCGCGCGGUGGAGCCCGCUCGGAAGCUUCGCGCUUCCGGGCGAACCCGCGCGUUUUUCCGGCUGACUCGCUCGACGGUAGACAGAAUGGUCAGGGGCCGCUCAUCUUACGGAGCGUUCGACUCUCGGCAAGCGCGUCAGACGUGUCGGCGAUCGGACCCGGUGCCGAUUCCGACCGCUGGCGACUGUUGGCCGUUGAUGUUCUCGAACAGACCUCUCGUACAAGACCGAUCUGCGACGCUAUAGCUUUGGGUACUUUCAGGACCCGUCUUGAAACACGGACCAAGGAGUCUAGCAUGUGCGCGAGUCAUUGGGAAUCACUAAACCUAAAGGCGCAAUGAAAGUGAAGGUCUUCCUAGCGAAGACCGAGGGAAGACGAGCGGUUCGCCCUUAAAGCGGGCCGUUCCGCAUUCCCGGGGCGUCUCGUUCUCAUCGCGAGAAGAGGCGCACCAAGAGCGUACACGCUGGGACCCGAAAGAUGGUGAACUAUGCCUGGUCA
RNAcentral lists this ribosomal RNA (696 nucleotides) under Orthotomicus sp. VS-2014. Its description in RNAcentral is "eukaryotic LSU rRNA". It matches the Rfam family "Eukaryotic large subunit ribosomal RNA", at positions 398 to 843 of the family's 3401-position model. The record is from RNAcentral. Lineage: Eukaryota; Metazoa; Arthropoda; Insecta; Coleoptera; Curculionidae.